AACGAACGCUGGCGGCGUGGAUAAGACAUGCAAGUCGAACGCUGAUUUCAAGGUAGCAAUAUUUUGAAGUUGGAGUGGCGCAAGGGUGUGUAACACGUGGGUAAUCUGCCGUGAAGCCUGGGAUAACUUGCUGAAAGGCGAGCUAAUACCGGAUGUGAAAAUCGGAAGGCAUCUUUUGAUUUUCAAAGUUGGGGACCGCAAGGCCUGACGCUUUAUGAUGAACCCGCGGCCUAUCAGCUAGUUGGUGAGGUAAUAGCUCACCAAGGCAAUGAUCGGUAGCCGGCCUGAGAGGGCGCACGGCCACACUGGAACUGAAACACGGUCCAGACUCCUACGGGAGGCAGCAGUGGGAAUUUGCGCAAUGGGGAAACCUGACGCAGCAACGCGCGUGGGGAUG
RNAcentral lists this ribosomal RNA (397 nucleotides) under uncultured bacterium. RNAcentral describes it as "bacterial SSU rRNA". It matches the Rfam family "Bacterial small subunit ribosomal RNA", at positions 29 to 410 of the family's 1533-position model. The record is from RNAcentral.